This 253-nucleotide ribosomal RNA is filed under the name uncultured bacterium. RNAcentral describes it as "partial 16S ribosomal RNA". It matches the Rfam family "Bacterial small subunit ribosomal RNA", at positions 524 to 776 of the family's 1533-position model. The record is from RNAcentral.
UACGUAGGGUGCAAGCGUUGUCCGGAAUUAUUGGGCGUAAAGCGCGUGUAGGCGGCCCGGUUAGUCCGCUGUGAAAGUCCAGGGCUCAACCCUGGAAUGCCGGUGGAUACUGUCGGGCUAGAGUCCGGAAGGGGCGAGUGGAAUUCCUGGUGUAGCGGUGAAAUGUGUAGAGAUCGGGAGGAACACCGGUGGCGAAGGCGGCCUUCUGGACGGUGACUGACGCUGAGGCGCGAAAGCGUGGGGAGCAAACGGG